CCUACGGGAGGCAGCAGUGGGGAAUAUUGCACAAUGGGCGAAAGCCUGAUGCAGCAACGCCGCGUGAAGGAAGAAGGGUCUCGGCUCGUAAACUUCUAUCUACAGGGACGAAAGAAAUGACGGUUCCUGACUAAUAAGCCCCGGCUAACUACGUGCCAGCAGCCGCGGCAAUACGUAGGGGGCAGGCGUUAUCCGGAAUUACUGGGUGUAAAGGGUGAGUAGGCGGGAUGGUAAGCCAGAUGUGAAAGCCUUGGGCUUAACCCGAGGAUUGGAGUUGGAACUAGCAGGCUAGAGUACAGGAGAGGAAGGCGGAAUGCGUGGUGUAGCGGUGAAAUGCAUAGAUAUUAGGAAGAACACCGGUGGCGAAGGCAGCUUGCUGGACUGAAACUGACGCUGAGGCACGAAAGCGUGGGGAGCGAACAGGAUUAGAUACCCGAGUAGUC
RNAcentral lists this ribosomal RNA (443 nucleotides) under uncultured bacterium. Its description in RNAcentral is "partial 16S ribosomal RNA". It matches the Rfam family "Bacterial small subunit ribosomal RNA", at positions 338 to 795 of the family's 1533-position model. The record is from RNAcentral.